GGCUACCACAUCCAAGGAAGGCAGCAGGCGCGCAAAUUACCCACUCCCGGCACGGGGAGGUAGUGACGAAAAAUAACGAUACGGGACUCAUCCGAGGCCCCGUAAUCGGAAUGAGUACACUCUAAACCCUUUAACGAGGAUCAAUUGGAGGGCAAGUCUGGUGCCAGCAGCCGCGGUAAUUCCAGCUCCAAUAGCGUAUAUUAAAGUUGUUGCGGUUAAAAAGCUCGUAGUCGAAUCUGUGUCUCGCGCCGCCGGUUCAUCGCUCGCGGUGUUUAACUGGCGUGUCCGCGAGACGUCCUGCCGGUGGGCUUAGCUCGUUCGCGGGCGGCCCAACUUCAAAUCCCACCGCGGUGCUCUUGACUGAGUGUCGAGGUGGGCCGGCACGUUUACUUUGAACAAAUUAGAGUGCUUAAAGCAGGCUAAAACUUCGCCUGAAUACUGUGUGCAUGGAAUAAUGGAAUAGGACCUCGGUUCUAUUUUGUUGGUUUUCGGAACCCCGAGGUAAUGAUUAAUAGGAACGGAUGGGGGCAUUCGUAUUGCGACGUUAGAGGUGAAAUUCUUGGAUCGUCGCAAGACGGACAGAAGCGAAAGCAUUUGCCAAAAACGCUUUCAUUGAUCAAGAACGAAAGUUAGAGGUUCGAAGGCGAUCAGAUACCGCCCUAGUUCUAACCAUAAACGAUGCCAGCUAGCGAUCCGCCGACGUUCCUCCGAUGACUCGGCGGGCAGCUUCCGGGAAACCAAAGCUUUUGGGUUCCGGGGGAAGUAUGGUUGCAAAGCUGAAACUUAAAGGAAUUGACGGAAGGGCACCACCAGGAGUGGAGCCUGCGGCUUAAUUUGACUCAACACGGGAAACCUCACCAGGCCCGGACACCGGAAGGAUUGACAGAUUGAGAGCUCUUUCUUGAUUCGGUGGGUGGUGGUGCAUGGCCGUUCUUAGUUGGUGGAGCGAUUUGUCUGGUUAAUUCCGAUAACGAACGAGACUCUAGCCUGCUAACUAGGCGUAUUUUCGACAUCUCAAAGGCCCGCCGGCCCGUCGCUCUCGCGUCGCGGUCGCGCGCGGUUUUUACUGUCGGCGUACAAUCAAUUCUUCUUAGAGGGACAGGCGGCUUCUAGCCGCACGAGAUUGAGCAAUAACAGGUCUGUGAUGCCCUUAGAUGUUCUGGGCCGCACGCGCGCUACACUGAAGGAAUCAGCGUGUCCUCCCUGGCCGAGAGGCCCGGGUAACCCGCUGAACCUCCUUCGUGCUAGGGAUUGGGGCUUGCAAUUGUUCCCCAUGAACGAGGAAUUCCCAGUAAGCGCGAGUCAUAAGCUCGCGUUGAUUACGUCCCUGCCCUUUGUACACACCGCCCGUCGCUACUACCGAUUGAAUGAUUUAGU
RNAcentral lists this ribosomal RNA (1377 nucleotides) under Hydrocassis sp. ET-2017. Its description in RNAcentral is "SSU rRNA". It matches the Rfam family "Eukaryotic small subunit ribosomal RNA", at positions 405 to 1702 of the family's 1831-position model. Lineage: Eukaryota; Metazoa; Arthropoda; Insecta; Coleoptera; Hydrophilidae. The record is from RNAcentral.